Molecule: ribosomal RNA, 206 nt
Filed under: uncultured bacterium
Lineage: Bacteria
Description: partial 16S ribosomal RNA
Rfam family: Bacterial small subunit ribosomal RNA
Source: RNAcentral
AGCGCAGACGGUUGAUUAAGUCUGAUGUGAAAGCCCGGAGCUCAACUCCGGAAUGGCAUUGGAAACUGGUUAACUUGAGUGCAGUAGAGGUAAGUGGAACCCCAUGUGUAGCGGUGGAAUGCGUAGAUAUAUGGAAGAACACCAGUGGCGAAGGCGGCUUACUGGACUGUAACUGACGUUGAGGCUCGAAAGUGUGGUAGCAAACA